UGAUGUUUCUAACAAAAUCCCAGGUUUCUUCAGGGUUACUUGAUAUAAGCAAUUACGAUUCUUCUACCAUUUCAUUCUUAAUGCAUAUUGUAGUGUAGCAUAGUGUCUGGCACUUUUCAGGUACUUAAAAAAAGCUCAUAGAAAGGAAUGAAGAAAGCUGCAACAAGGCAAGGUCAAUUCCACAUAACCCAGACAGGCUCAGCGGCAAGGCAUGCUGGGACUCCAGCAACACGGGAUGGCAGGGAAAUGGGAGAAGCCAAGACAAAGCCAGACCCAGUCAGGGCUGAAAGAAAUAACUGGCUAUAAGGCUGACCUCAAGUGUGGAUGAAAGGCAGUGCAACAUUUAACAUUCUAGGGGGUAUGGUGAACCCAGAAAUGGAUUUAGGCAAGCAAGCAAGGAGGUCCAAAGUAGUGAAUGGGGUGGGGCAGAGCAGCAGGAGCUUUCAGGUGACAGACAGGUUGAAAGGCACUGGACAGUGGAACCAUAAUUCCAGCUUAGUUGAGUAGUGAGUCCUGGUGGGGGGGCCUGGCCCAGGAGAUGAAGUUGGUUUAGUAGGGUGUCAGGGACCCAACCAAAUCUGUUGUUCAAAUGGAACACAGCCCAGAAGCCUAGUGGGAUGACUGAGCCAUCACAGCAGGCACCAGGGCCAGGUCAUAGCUGAGGAGAUAGGGGAGCCUGGGGCUCACCCAAGCCUUGGGCUCAUGGCAGAAGGAAUUGGUUUGGACCUCACUAAGAGGUGGGUAUAGGGCGGCUAACACAACCAGUGCCCUAUCCAGGAUUGGCUCAGGAGCUGCUGGGACAUCCCUCCAAGCAUGACUCCAGUUGACUGAAAUGAGGAGGUGGACUCAGAUGUCCAGUGUCUGAACCGUGAGAAAAAACGGGCUGCUGGUUUGUUUUCAAGGCAUAGCAUGGGUUCAAAAUCAAUGAAAUGAAAACACAAUUUUCUGGCUUCCUUUAUCUUCUCCCCCUGAAAGAUCCUCCACCUCAAAAUCCAUUUCCCUGCACUCCACCACUCCAGGAACAUCAGAUGUCCUGCCUUCUCUUUGUUCACCUCAACCUCGAGGAGCCUGUGCUCAUGUGCUCUCUCCAAGGUCGUCCUUUAGCUAAUAAUCAGCUCCUGUGGGCAGACACCAUCAGGAGUCUACCUCAGGAGGCAGUAUACUGUUGUGAAAAGAGCCCUGGCCUGGCAUCAGACCUGAGUUCCAGCCCUGAAGUCCAAACUGAUUCACUGUGUGCCCUUGGAUGUUUUCCAAGGUCCCUCCUGUUCUCCCAUUCUCAUUUUUCACAUUAUUCUGAUGGAAACAGGGUCAGGCAUGCAGUGAGUGAUGACAAAAUAAAAUGGCCACUUGAAGUUUGUUUCCUUAUGGCGCCACCUCUUUUGUCCUGCCUACCCCUUCACCAAGCUGUUUCUACACAUGCAAAUUUGGUAACUGCAUUGUGUAAAGCAGAGAAAAAGGAAGAGGAUUGGAAAGUUGUUGGGGAACUCUGUGAAAGACACUGGGGAAUAAAAUUGCAUUGAGUGACGUAGGUGCUAAGGCACCCUCCUCAGCACCCCUUUGCAGGCCACUGUGGUAAGCACUCACAGCUACCCCUCCUCUGGAUAAUUGCCCUGACAGCAGCUUCUUGCCACCUACAGCCAAGGAUGACCGCUUGCCUCAAGGUGGGUCAGCUCUCCAGUAUGGCUUAUGUUCCAGAGCUUUCCCCCUGUGGAUUAAGCCAAGGGUGGCAGUUCGAACCCAUCAGCUAUUCCAGAGGAGAAAAGAUCCAGCAAUCUGCUCCUGUAAAUAUUACAGCCUAGGAAACCCAAUAUGGGGCAAUUCUACUCUGUCCUACGGGGUCACUAUGAGUCAGAAUUGACUCGAUGCAACAACAAAAUUUACUUAAUCCCUGGGUGGUGCAAACAGUUAACACGCUGAGCUACUAACCAAAAAUCCACCCAGGGUGCCUUGGAAGAAAAGCCUGGCAAUCUACUUCCACAAAACCAGCCAUUGAAAACCCCGUGAAAUGCUGACACUACUCUGACACAUGUGGGGUCGCCAUGAGUCACAGUCAACUCAAUGACAACUGUUUUUUUUUUUUCUUAAACUCUACUUGAGACCACACUCUUGCUCAGUCCCUACCCUUCCCCAACUAUAUCCUGCUUCCCUCUUUUCCUUACAGGUUUUUCUAAAGAGCACUCUCUUAAUAAACACAUUCACAAGAAUUCCAUCUCAGACUCUGCCUGAAGAGACUUGAUCUAAGGUAAUGUGUUUUCAGUAAAUGAAAAUUAAAUGCCAGUAAGGCGCAAAACCUUCAUGGGAGCCACCAUAAAACUGUAGCUAAAGUAGACCCCCAGAUUAGUUUUUUAAAAAAAAGGAAAAAAGAUUAGGUUACAAAAGUCAGUUUGCAGGGGAGGGAAGCAGGGAAAGACCAAGUUCCUGUUUGUCCCUGGAGGGCAAUAAACCAAGCAGUAUUGUAACCUCACUUUGCCUGAUUCAUUUCCUAAGCACUGCAGGGCAGCUGGGCACUUGCAAAAUAGGGAUAGGCCCCAUUUUCUUGAAUACCCAUUGCUGUCAAGUCGAUUCCAACUUAUAGUGACCCUAUAGGACAAAGUAGAGCUGCCCCAUAGGCUUUUCAACGGUGUACAUCUUUACAGAGGCUGACUGCCACAUCUUUCUCCCGUGGAACAGCUGGUGGGGUCGAAUUGCCAACAUUUGGUUAGCAGCUGAGCGCUUAACCACUGCACCACCAGGGUUCCUACUUUCUUGAAUGUUGUUUUUGUUGUUAGAUGCUGAUGAGUCAGUUCUGACUCAUAGCAACCCUAUGUACAACAGAACAAAACACUACCCGGUCCGGCACUAUCCUCACAAUCAUUGUCAAGCUUGAGCCUGUUGCAGCCAGCAUCCAUCCAUCUCACUGAGGGUUUUUCUCUUUUUUUGCUGACCCUCUGCUUUACCAAGCAUGAUGUCUUUCUCCAGGGACUGGUCUCUCCUGAUAACAUGCUCAAAGUAUGUGAGAAGAAGUCUCACCAUCCUUGCUUCUAAGGCAUUCUGGCUGUACUUCUUCCAAGACAGGUCGGUUUGUUCUUCUGGCAGUCCAUGGUAUAUUCAAUAUGCUUCACCAACAACAUCAUUCACAUGCGUCAGUUCUUCAGUCUUCCUUAUUCACUGUCCAGCCUUCACAUGCACAUGAGGUGAUUGAAAAUAUCAUGGCUUGGGUCAGGAGCAGCAUAGUACUCAAGCUCAACCAGUGGAAGCCCUAUGGAUCACAGCAUUUGAUCUGGAGCCGGUCAUGGGGAUGGUACAGGACUGGGUAGCAUCUCCUUCUGCUGUGCACGGCAACACCACGAGUCAGGGGUCAACUCAACGACAGCUAACAACAAAAAGUUGUAAAUUAAAACUCAGAAGAAUUCAAAAGCUACGAGAAAGAACACAGGGCAGAGGCCUGGUUCAUCAACUGAAUCUACACUUUCUCUUCUGUAAAACAAACAGCAACUACCUCAAGUGGGUUGUUGUGAGGAACAGACUAGUUAAAGACUGUAAGAGCUUAAAGUUCGAUGUCUGGCCCAAGGUAAAUGCUCCCUCAUUCUUCCACAUUUCCUUCCUCCGUCAUUACUUCUCUCAAUUCCUCCCUCCCUUCCUCUUCAUCCCUCACCCAAAACAGUGAUUUAUUAAAUCAUAUGCUAAUAUGGCAAUGUUUAAGGAAUCAGUGAUCCUGACAGUUUCUUCAUGCUAUUCUCACCCUGACUUAUACCCUGAAAAUUUGGAAUAUUAUGAAAAGAUGGUAUGAAAAUUAACUUACAGAAAUGGUUGAAUUGAGUACAGAUUUUCUUUUUUCAGAUGUAUUCAUAAUGCUGGAACCUAGUGAUGCCCAAAUGGAUAGUUUGAAGCUCAAAAUCCAUUUUUACACAAGGAUUAUUAAUGUUGCCAAAUGUACACAGGACAAAAUAUGCCAUGCGGACAACACAGCCUAAUGUUUGAUCUGAUGCUGUUAUUUCCCAGACCUACCACUGGCAGUAUCGACAAAUAUUUUCAAAAUAUAUUAAUUACUGCAGAAGUCUAAUGUUUUGGUUAGAAGCUGUGAUUUUCAGGAUAUAAACUGAUAUACCAAUAUAUUUUUUUUUCUGAAAAAAUUAAGAAACCCCAGGUGCUUGAAAAGAGACGGGUGCGCUAGAAAGUGUUUUUUGCUUUGAAUUGGCUUCCCAACUCUGUAAUGUACUGUGUGAUGUGGGCCAAUUAUUCAUCACCACUAAGUCCUGGUUCCCUCAUUAUAAAAUUACCUAUUAGGAUUGCUAUUAACUAACAGCCACCACAAUACUCAGCAAAAAGAAAGUUCUCAACAAAUGUAGAUUUUCUCAACAAGCAGUUGGAAACAUUAAUGAACAAAGUCUUAGUCACCACACCUUUCUUUUUCUGUAGGAUGAAUUUUGGCCCAAACACCUCCAACGUCUAUCCAUCUCAUUUCAAGCCAUCUAAUCCAAUUCUAUCCCACAAACAAUGUCAUAUAGCUAAAACUAACUAGUUAGUCCCAUCUUUAAUUUCAUGCAAGGCAAUCCUAUUAUUUAUUCUCAUUAUUAAAACAAAAACAAACAGCACUCUUUUGCAUGUUAUAAUUCCAAUACAAAGCUCAGGAGCAGAUUAGCCACUUUGUAAAUAUGUACCUAGCUUGGAUAGGGAGAGAGAAUUCUGGGUUUAAUCAAGAUGUUAAAUAAUCAGUUAGACCCAUAUCACUUAAGAUUUCAGAAGGUUUCUUUGAACUCUCUUCCUUAAAUGUUUCUUAAACGUUUCCUCUUCACUCUCAGAAAUGCAAAAUGUCAAAGAUCUGGUACCAUUCUAUGCAACUUAUUCAAUCAUUCCUGAUUUUUAGGUUAUCUCAGUAAAGGGGAAACAGGUUUUGAGAGGCCAAACAUGAGCACACUCAUGUGAUCCACCAGUUCAAUGCAGUCUGCAUUCUUAUGUAAGUCCCCGGCACAUAGCCCUUAUUUUCCACUGUCACUAUAAAACCUCUGCCCUCCCACCACAGGGCAUAGAAAUCUGUUUUGGUCCUGCUGCCACCUAGGACUCGCUCCAUCUAUAAGUCUCCCCAAUAACCCUUUGCUACUGCCCUAGAGUUGCCUGCCUCUUUCUUUGGUCUCUUGGCAUCCUCCACUUUUGGAAGCAAGUUUCACAUUAUUGGUCCAUGCCUGGAUGCUCAGACUGUAUCUUGCUACUCCACUUCAGUAAAUCCAAUAAAACUAGUGUUUUGAUAUUGAAAAUAAAAUUCAGUAAGUUUUCAAUAAAUAUUUUAAGCAUGCAUUAUGUGACAAGUACUAUGUUAAGUCUGGGAUACAGUGGCAAACAAGAUACAGUCACUUAACUAAAGGGGCUCACAGUCUAGUGAGGGAAGUAGACAAGUAAAAAGACAAUUAUAAUUCAGGAUGAAUAGUGCCACAAGAGAUGUUCCAAGAGACUGCAGAAAAGGUACCUAACCCAGUUCAAGGAGCAGUGUGAUGGAUGUCAAGGAAGGUUCCUUAGAUGAAGUGACCUCCAAGCUGAUCCCUGAAAAACAAAGAGGGCAAGGAGUGGUGGGGAAGGAAUAUCCCUGGCAGAGGCAUCAGUAUUUACUAACCACAUGUUAGAAGAACACGAAAACGUGUUCAGUAUGACUGAAGUGGAGGUGGGAUUCCAAGGGAAGAAAUGAGCCCUGAUGAUGAAGGGCUCUGGCAGCCGCUUCAGGGAGCUUUAAUUUUGUCCCAAAGACAAUGGGGAACCAGUUAAGGGUUUCAAGUGGCACCAUGAUAUGAUCGGAUUUGUACUUUAGAACAAUUACUGUGGCUGCCUUGAAAAAAGUAUACAGCCAUGAAGAUCAGUUAGGAAGCGAUCCAGUAAACGAUCCAUGAAUGCGAUCAAAGAGUGAUGGUGGCCUGAAUAAAGUAGGUGGAACUGAGGUAUUUUGAAGGUGGAAUUAAUAGGCCAUAGUGACUGACUGGCUGUAUAAGUGGAAAAGUUAGAAUGAUUGGCAAGUUUCUGGUUUGGGCAACUGAAGGGAUAUCUGUUAUUUACAGACAAUAUAAAAUGGCAAGCACAUGAAAGGAAAAACAGCAGGUAGGGAAGAUGAAUUCUGGAUAUGUUAAGUUUCAAAUACCCAUGGGUGUUCAAAAGGUGAUGUCUAUUAGGUAUCAAAUAAGUGUCUAAUAUGGGUCUAGAGUUCAGAAGAGAUCUCGGUUGAUCAUAGUUACAGGCACCAAUAACACAUACCUGUCAAUCAGUGAGUCCACAACCUUGGCUAUGUGCCAGAAUCAUUUUGGAGCUUUUGUUUGUUUCCGUAUUAAAUAUGUCCAGAACUUUUUCCCUACUCAUAUUAGGAGUGGGAGUGAGAACGUGACAUCCUUUAAGGUAAAAUUCACUAAAGUUGAGGCGAUAAAGGGUUUUACUGUUUUGUGUUUUGUAAAGCAUUUCAAGAAUGACAAAAGCUGCAGAGAACGUUUUUUACUGAGUAGUUUUUUACUAAUUUUAUCAUUUCUGAAAGUUAACUCACAGAAAUGGUUGUACCCCAAGUUUCCAAAUCCAUUUCACUCUAGCAAACUUGAAAUUUGCAUUUCAAAGUCUAAGAGAUAAAUUAGCAACUUAACCAUCCAUAGGCACUCAUUCAAAACCCUUCGAAAUACAGCUAAAAAGCAGGUUUCAAAUCCCCCAGACUAUGGCCCUAUGACAACUGUGACUUGGAACCGCAACCAUUCCCGAAAACCACCUGCCAGCCAAGCAACAGACAGGCGUAUAAAAUAAACAAUAACAGCCAGAAAGAAUGUGGUCCACAGAACAAACGACUACACGAAACCAAAAGAGCAAUAUUGGCACCAUCCCCCCAAAAAAGAUGAGGAGGCAGGAAGUGGUAGAAAAACCAGACAAAAGUAAAUGGGGAACCCAAGGCGGAAAUGGGGAACACAAGGCAGAAAUGGGGAACCCAAGGCGGAAAUGGGGAGAGUGUUGACAGAGUGUGGGGACUGCAACCAAUGUCAUGUAAUACUUUGCAUACAAUGUGUUGAACAGGAAACUAAUUUGCUCUGUAAAUUUUCACCUAAAACACAACGAAAUAUUUAAAAAGUCUUAGAAAGGUACAAUGAUUAAAACUGUGUAUAUUACAAAAAUUUAAAAAGCAGUUUUCAUUUCUUAUAGACACUGCUCUCGUCCAUUAACUUCUGAUGAGCUCUGUUUUCUCAUCUGGAGAAACUAAGCCUUUGGUGGAAUUGUUUUUUUCCCUUUUAAUGUGUAAACUGGCUAAUUUCAUGAUCUUUAUUUUAUACUUUUAUCAUUCUAAGUAAGAAACAAUAAUCAAUGAAGUAAAGGAUAAGGUUAUCUUUACACAUUCUCUUCCCACCUCUAAACAAAGACUUCACUAAAUCCUGUAAUUAGUCAACAAAAGUGGUAAUACGUAUGUUGAACUUCCUACCCCCUCAUGGAGCAAAGGAACAAUAAAUCAUUCAAGGGCUAAAACAAGCAAAAGUUAAAAAGUCAAGAAUGGGGCUUACUGGUUUAUUAAAGAUUAAGCACUGGCUAUUUGGAAUGUAGCUCACCUGAACCUAAAAUUUAGAUUUCUCUCUCCAUUCUGGCCCAUCAUCUUGGUCCACUUACAAAAGUAGGCAUUUAGAAUAAACACACACGUUCCUGUUGCACUCCCAAAUAUAUUUAUAAAAUAUACAUAACGUCUAUUCCUAAUUCAGCCAUUCCCAAUGCUGCUUUUUAGGCUGAACCAUUCUUUAUUACAGAAUUAAAAGAUCCAAAAGCACAUGACAUUAUGUAUUUGUCAGAACCCACAGGCCUGUAGAACGCAGUGAGCCCUAAUGUUAACUAUGGACUUCAAUGAUAAUCAUGUAUCUAUACUGGUUCAUCCAUUCUAACAAAUGUACCACAGGAAAGCGAGACGUUAAUAAUCAGAGGAACUGCCUGAGGAGGAGAAGGGGUAUAUGUGAACGUUCUGUAUUUUCUGCACAAUUUUCCUGUAAACCCAAAACUGCUUGAAAAAAAAAAAAAAACAGUCUAUUAAGAAAAAAGAAAAAGAAGGUCC
This is a long non-coding RNA of Loxodonta africana (African savanna elephant), 8023 nucleotides long. RefSeq lists it as uncharacterized. NCBI's taxonomy places the organism in Eukaryota, Metazoa, Chordata, Mammalia, Proboscidea, Elephantidae. The transcript has 2 exons. The record is from RefSeq and is a predicted model, not a curated record.